RNAcentral lists this ribosomal RNA (385 nucleotides) under uncultured bacterium. RNAcentral describes it as "bacterial SSU rRNA". It matches the Rfam family "Bacterial small subunit ribosomal RNA", at positions 30 to 417 of the family's 1533-position model. The record is from RNAcentral.
AUUGAACGCUGGCGGCAUGCCUUACACAUGCAAGUCGAACGGCAGCGGACCUUCGGGUGCCGGCGAGUGGCGAACGGGUGAGUAAUAUAUCGGAACGUACCUUUCAGUGGGGGAUAACGUAGCGAAAGUUACGCUAAUACCGCAUAUUCUGUGAGCAGGAAAGCAGGGGAUCGCAAGACCUUGCGCUGAUUGAGCGGCCGAUAUCAGAUUAGCUAGUUGGUGAGGUAAAGGCUCACCAAGGCGACGAUCUGUAGCGGGUCUGAGAGGAUGAUCCGCCACACUGGAACUGAGACACGGUCCAGACUCCUACGGGAGGCAGCAGUGGGGAAUUUUGGACAAUGGGCGCAGGCCUGAUCCAGCCAUGCCGCGUGAGUGAAGAAGGCCU